Molecule: non-coding RNA, 73 nt
Organism: Phrynosoma platyrhinos (Desert horned lizard)
Lineage: Eukaryota; Metazoa; Chordata; Lepidosauria; Squamata; Phrynosomatidae
Source: the annotation of a GenBank genome assembly
GACCAACUGGCCUAAUGGAUAAGGUGUCUGACUUUGAAUCAGAAGAUUGAGGGUUCCAGUCCCACCUGGGUUG